Molecule: ribosomal RNA, 253 nt
Filed under: uncultured bacterium
Lineage: Bacteria
Description: partial 16S ribosomal RNA
Rfam family: Bacterial small subunit ribosomal RNA
Source: RNAcentral
UACGUAGGGUGCGAGCGUUGUCCGGAAUUACUGGGCGUAAAGAGCUCGUAGGUGGUUUGUCGCGUUGUUCGUGAAAACUCACAACUCAAUUGUGGGCGUGCGGGCGAUACGGGCAGACUGGAGUACUGCAGGGGAGACUGGAAUUCCUGGUGUAGCGGUGAAAUGCGCAGAUAUCAGGAAGAACACCAAUGGCGAAAGCAGCUCUCUGGGACGGUACUGACGCUGAGACGCGAAAGCGUGGGGAGCGAACAGG